GUGCACCAGGCGCGAAAACUUUACAAUGUGCGAAAGCACGAUAAGGGAACUCUGAGUGCCUCCUAAGGAGGCUGUUCAGGUGUCUAAAAAGCACCUGAAGGAAGGGCUGGGUAAGACCGGUGCCAGCCGCCGCGGUAACACCGGCAGCCCAAGUGGUAGCCACGUUUAUUGGGUCUAAAGCGUCCGUAGCCGGCUGGGUAAGUUCCUUGGGAAAUUUGGCUGCUUAACAGUCAAGCUUUCAGGGAAUACUGCCCGGCUUGGGGACCGGGAGAGGUCAGAGGUACUCCAGGGGUAGGGGUGAAAAUCCAUUAAUCCUUAGGGGGACCACCGGUAGCGAAGGCGUCUGACCAGACCGGGUCCGACGGUGAGGGACGAAGGCUAGGGGCGCGAACCGGAUUAGAUACCCGUGU
Molecule: ribosomal RNA, 410 nt
Filed under: uncultured microorganism
Description: bacterial SSU rRNA
Rfam family: Archaeal small subunit ribosomal RNA
Source: RNAcentral